AUUAUUGGGCGUAAGGGCUCGCAGGCGGUUUCUUAAGUCUGAUGUGAAAGCCCCCGGCUCAACCGGGGAGGGUCAUUGGAAACUGGGGAACUUGAGUGCAGAAGAGGAGAGUGGAAUUCCACGUGUAGCGGUGAAAUGCGUAGAGAUGUGGAGGAACACCAGUGGCGAAGGCGACUCUCUGGUCUGUAACUGACGCUGAGGAGCGAAAGCGUGGGGAGCGAACAGGAUUAGAUACCCUGGUAGUCCACGCCGUAAACGAUGAGUGCUAAGUGUUAGGGGGUUUCCGCCCCUUAGUGCUGCAGCUAACGCAUUAAGCACUCCGCCUGGGGAGUACGGUCGCAAGACUGAAACUCAAAGGAAUUGACGG
This 367-nucleotide ribosomal RNA is filed under the name Bacillus subtilis. RNAcentral describes it as "bacterial SSU rRNA". It matches the Rfam family "Bacterial small subunit ribosomal RNA", at positions 550 to 916 of the family's 1533-position model. The record is from RNAcentral. Lineage: Bacteria; Bacillati; Bacillota; Bacilli; Caryophanales; Bacillaceae.